GAAUGAAUGGCUGAGUGGUUUAAAGCAUCAAUUUUGAAAAUUGACAUAAGAAGUUAAACUUAUCGUAGGUUCGAAUCCUACUUCAUUCA
This 89-nucleotide transfer RNA is filed under the name Gracilaria edulis. RNAcentral's name for it is "tRNA-Ser". It matches the Rfam family "tRNA". From Rfam's summary of the family: Transfer RNA (tRNA) molecules are approximately 80 nucleotides in length. Their secondary structure includes four short double-helical elements and three loops (D, anti-codon, and T loops). The record is from RNAcentral. Lineage: Eukaryota; Rhodophyta; Florideophyceae; Gracilariales; Gracilariaceae.